This 267-nucleotide ribosomal RNA is filed under the name uncultured bacterium. RNAcentral's name for it is "partial 16S ribosomal RNA". It matches the Rfam family "Bacterial small subunit ribosomal RNA", at positions 524 to 796 of the family's 1533-position model. The record is from RNAcentral.
UACGAGGGUGCAGCGUUAAUCGGAUUACUGGGCGUAAAGCGUGCGAGGUGUUUGUAAGUCAGAUGUGAAAUCCCCGAGCUCAACUUGGGAACUGCGUUUGAAACUACCAGACUAGAAUAUGUCAGAGGGGGGUAGAAUUCCACGUGUAGCAGUGAAAUGCGUAGAGAUGUGGAGGAAUACCGAUGGCGAAGGCAGCCCCCUGGGAUAAUAUUGACGCUCAUGCACGAAAGCGUGGGAGCGAACAGGAUUAGAUACCCCGGGUAGUCC